UUGAAAAUUCGAAAAUUCGAAAAGUCGAAAAAAAAAAUCGAAAAAAAAAAUUUUGAAAAAAAAAAAAAAAUUGCCUAGGCCUCCUCUUCUUUAGGCCUAACAAAUUUCAUAACAAACAUAUAUGAAGAAAGAGUUUUGGGCUACCACUUAGAAAGGAAAUGCCUCAUUCGUCAACUCCCUCGCCCGGAAACUUGGGGGACUCCUACCAUAUGCUACUGCACCUUGAUACACGAAAGUCUCACGACCACUCAGUGACUUAGAUUUUUCAAGUCUCCAAACGAGAAGUUUUCCUCACUCGGGAAAUUAAGGGAGCACUACCUCAACCUUCAUGCUUCACUCACAAAGCUUCAACAUACAAGCUUCAACAAAAGGAAAAAUUCAAAUAACUUAGUGAAGAAGGCCUUGGUGUAUUUAACACAAUACGUUGAAAUGAAGCAAAGCUUGUUUAUUGAUAUCUCCGAUAAGUUACAAAUAUGUACAUACACAUGAAUCAAAAUAAACAAACAAGAAGGAGCCUUCACAAAGGUUGCUCAGGAGAAGUCUUAGCAAUCGGCAGAGCCCCAGAAAGAGGAGGCACCAGAGGGUGAUUAUUCGAAGCCUUAGUAUUAGGCAGAACCCCAGAAGGAGGAGGCACCGAAGGUUGAUCAUGUGGAGCUUCAUUACGCGGUACAGCCCUAGAAGACGAAGGUAAUAAAUGCCUUUGGAACAAACCCACAAACCUCGAUGAUCAAGUAAAAUCUAACCAUCAAAUUCUUGCAGCUGGUUGAGCUUCCUCUUUAUGUUUGUAGCAUAGUCAUGUGCGAGCCUGUGCAACUGUUUAUUCUCAUGCUUGAGCCCUCUGAUCUCCUGUUUGAAACUUAUCACUUCAGUCGCCAAUGAUUCAACUAGGCGAGUUCGAGCAAAUAGGCGUUGGGCCAUAUUAGACACUGAACACUGAGAGCCAGAGAAUCCUUAACAGCCAACUCAUCAGACCGUUUGGAAAGUAGUCUGUUAUCUUUGGGAGUGAGAAGGUUCCUGGCCACUACCGCAGCGGUUAUAUAAUUCUUCAUUACAGAGUCCCUAACGGUAAGAGGACCAGUAAGGGAUAAGAAGGAUGGGCACCAUAUGUUGUCUUGAGAAGGCAUGGCUACCUUUUCACCAAAGUUCAAGUCAAAACAAUGGUCGGAUGGGCCAGACAUUCUUAGAAAUGAUGAAGAAGAAAUGAGGUGCAAUAAAUCUCUGAAGUAAGGGGAAAAUUCCUAUAAGCAAUAACUCUUUGAAUGAACUCCUUGCACAUAAUUGGUGCCCUUAUAAAAGAAAGGGCAACAUGGCCGUUGGUUCAAAAAUCGAAGAGGCACCACUCUCUGGCUUCCGAAGAGGCAC
RNAcentral lists this long non-coding RNA (1362 nucleotides) under Malus domestica (apple). RNAcentral describes it as "long non-coding RNA (MDOM_LNC001813)". The record is from RNAcentral. Lineage: Eukaryota; Viridiplantae; Streptophyta; Magnoliopsida; Rosales; Rosaceae.